Long non-coding RNA from Rosa chinensis, 1622 nucleotides. RefSeq lists it as uncharacterized. The record is from RefSeq and is a predicted model, not a curated record. The transcript has 4 exons. NCBI's taxonomy places the organism in Eukaryota, Viridiplantae, Streptophyta, Magnoliopsida, Rosales, Rosaceae.
AAAGUGUCUUAUGAUAAUUCAGACACCACAAAUCUCCCCAUGAUAAUUAAAGUCACAUAUUAACAAUAUGCCAUUAAAAAUAACAAAAAUUACAACUCAUGCCAUUCAUAUAUAUUAUUGCAACUUAGGUACUAUCCAAAGCCGUUCCGGGAUCUUUUGCUUUCGAGGCCACAAGAACUAGCCAAUAACAUCGAAGCUUGCUGCACUUCAUCGUACACAAUUUUCGUGGCGCGUUUGCUUCAACCGCUGAUGAUCAAAAGCUGUCCGAUGAUCCUUCCUCUCUAUCUCUCGUCCCCCAACGAUGCCCGCCACCACUAGUGAGCCUUUGACAGUCGACGUCACCAAAGAUCAGAGCCAAAUGCGCACAUGAGACUCCAAAAUGAUCUUCUUACUAAUCGAUUGGAAUCAAGUACUACACCUCUUCAAGGCCGCCGCCGAGAUCACCGACUCCGAUCCGCAAAACAACUGACGAUGCGACUCUGCAGCGUUCCGUCGCUUCUGUUUCUCUGUCUCCGGUGCUGCGGUGGAAAGCGACUGUGAGGAUCACAUUUUCAAGUAAUGGUGAGAGUGGGAAGAAGAAGGAAAAGACCAGGUCUUGGUUGAAGAAGAAGAAGAAGAAGAGAGUAGAGAGAUUUAUGGUAUGGUGAGGAGCGAAAGAAAAAGAGUGGGAGAAAAGUUGGUGUUUGCUUGAAGAAGAGGAAGAUUGUAGCUUCCAAAUGUGGAUCAUCUUCUUAUUCCAAAGUUAGAGGCUUAUUCUUCAUGAUAAUUAGGAAGAAGAACCAGAGCAGCAGCUGCAACAUAAAGAGCAGCUUCAGCAAGGUACCCUUACCUUGUUUAUCCUAGUGCCUUAUCAAGUUUCAUGAAUUGAAUUGGAGUUAGAUUACCUGCUUUCUUGGUAAUGAAUAAUACAAUGAUUGACGGAAAGAAUGGUUGGAAAAACUUUCAGGGUGCCGGGUUGAUAAAUAUUGCGUUCAUUUUGGGAGCCUUCAAUUUAUAUGUAACCAAGAAAUUUUAUUGAGAAUUGGAGCUUUGCAUUCUUAUGGGGCCUAGAAGUGAAUUAAGAAUGGUUUAGAUAUGCUUACUGCCAGAAGCCAAAUAGAUUAGAAUAUGUCUUAUGAAGUAAAAGUUACUUGGUUGAAGUAAUGAUUAGAGAUGGUUGAGUACUUGAAUUGCUAUUGUCUGAUUAUGGAAUUUCCUUACCGUCAUGGCUUCAUGUAGAAUGCUACAUGGAAAUCCAACACUACGAAAACUAAGGAAAUGUACGUGGGCUGAUCAUAUGUACUUGGCUUAAUUUAAGCAGUAGAAGACUUUAAUUGUGUGCGCAAUGGAUCGAGCAAGGAGGGCAAAAACGUUGGUAGCAAACGUUCCUAGCCAAGUUAUUGGCCACAUGUCACUGGCUAUGUCAUUGGUCAAGUUACUAUUAGACUCAAAUCACCGACAAAGUCACUGACCAUAUCACUAGCCAAGUUGCAUGUCACUUUCCAAGUCAUUGUUAUACACGUCCCUGACCAUGUCACUUACAAUGUAUGUAACUGACCAUGUAACUAAUUAUGUAACUGAUCAUGUCACUUCCAAUGUAUGUGACUGACCAUGUCACUGACCAAGUAACUGUCAGUAGCCAA